This 1898-nucleotide long non-coding RNA is filed under the name Homo sapiens (human). RNAcentral describes it as "HSALNT0318012". The record is from RNAcentral. Lineage: Eukaryota; Metazoa; Chordata; Mammalia; Primates; Hominidae.
CAAACAUUUAUUCCCUCACAGUUCUGGAGGCCAACAGUCCAAACUCAAGGUGUUGGCAGGGAUGGUUCCUCCUGCAGGCUGUGAGGGAGGAUCCGUUCCAUGCCAGCUCGGUGUUGCCAGCAACCCUUGGUGUUCCUUAGCUUGCAGCUGCAUCAUUUCAGUGUGUGCCUCUCUUCACAUGGGGUCCCUCCUGUGUCUACGUCCAGAUUUCCCUCUUCUUAUGAAUAUACCAGUCACGUUGGAUCAAGGCCCACCCUAAUAGCCUCACCUUAGUGAGGUUACAACUGCAAAGAUUAUACUUCCAAAUAAGGUUACACUCACUGUCCAAGGAGUUAUGACUUCAACAUAGCUUUGUGAGGGACACAAUUCCACCCAUGACAGCAACCCUGAAGGGACUGCAGUCCCUCUCCAUCCAUGACAACAUCCAACUAGAAAUGGGUUGGCCAUCUAUUAGGCGUACCAGAGACUAUUCCUGCUCUAGCCAAGAAUUUGGGCCAGAUGACUACUAAGAUCCUUUGCAGUAUCCAGAUUCUAAGAUUCUGUUUUCCUGGGAAGGUGUAAACUGCUUUAUCUUCAGGUUAGCUCUUAACUCAUGAGCUGGGACAAUGCUCUUUCCCCUAAGAAAGGCGACUUUCCACCAAGAACACCAUUGUGUAGAGGCACCUACUGUGCCAGGCACUGUUGGAGGCACUGGGGAUGAAUCAGCAAGCAAGACAGAAGGUCCCUGCACUCACAUAACUUACUGCUCAGGAAUCGCCACUGGACUCAGCCUGCACAGCACAGCAAGACCCUGGCUCUUAAGAAAAAAAAAGAAUGAUGGGGAUGCAUCCCAGGACAAACAGCAGUUUUGGAGGGGGUCACUGAUUGUACCAAGGGUCCCCAAGGCCACCUGCAUACAAUCCCACUCACAGACCUGAGAUCCUGGCAGCAGAACACUGUGAUCUGUUCUCCUGGUGCCCGGCACAGUACCCAGCCCUUUCAUGGGCACAUGUGAUGAACACAGAAGGGGAUAUCUAGUGCCAUCUGAGACCUGCACUCAAUGUGUGAUUCUUAUCUUCUCUCAAAAAGACAGUACUCUCAUCCAGGAGACAGAAAGGGGAAGACAACUUCUUGAGAAAAAAUGAGAAACAAUUUCUUGGGGCCUCAUUUUCCUUGGCUGACAUGUGUCAGUUUCACCCUCAGGAAAGUAACAGGAAAUUAAGGAGACAAUGGGGUAGCUCCCAAAUGUGGCAGAAUCUCUAUUUACACAAUGGAAGCCUCACAUCUUUACCUUGUAUUUUUAAACUGCCUGAUGCAAAUGUCAGGGGUGCUGCCACCCUCCUGGCAAACUCAUCCUAUUCAUCGCCAUCACACCUGUCUGGUGUAAUCCCACUAUCUCUGCAGGUCCCCGCCGCCAUCAGCCCUGCUGGAACACAUGCUAUGACUGCCACGGCCUUGCCUCAUCCUUAUGUAUGUGUCACAUACAAGAGUAGUGUUUGGUUCAUGCCUGACAAGCAGUCAACACUGGCUUAACCUAGAAGUCAGAUGUUCAGCUGCCCCUUCCCCAACUUUAAUUAAAUCUUACCUUCAAGACCCAAUUGAAUUCUUCCUCCUCCAGGAAGCCUGCCAGUCCACCCAGCCCAUGGAGUUCUCUCUCUCUCUGCUGUCAGUGUCCAUGGUACAAGCAAUCUAUAUUUCAGGUCACAAACUCACAAAUUCAGUGAGCGCUGUGCAUUCUUCGGUCUUUUUUUUUCAUGUAGUGCCUCAGUGUGAGGGUGGGGAUGGUGGGUGACAGGCAACCCGAGUGUCCAUGCUGCCGCACGCUCCAUUACUUCCUAGCAUCUCGCACUGAGCCUGAGGUACACUUAUAGCACCUGUGUAGCCCCCGUGGGCAUUGGGGCAUGAGGCCCUGAUGCAAA